GCAGUUGUGGCCAAGCGGUUAAGAUGAUGGAUUAGAAAUCCAUUGGGGUCUUCCUGCACAGGUUCAAAUCCUGUCAACUACA
Non-coding RNA from Gopherus flavomarginatus (Mexican gopher tortoise), 82 nucleotides. NCBI's taxonomy places the organism in Eukaryota, Metazoa, Chordata, Testudines, Testudinidae. The record is from the annotation of a RefSeq genome assembly.